Schistocerca americana (American grasshopper) is the source of this 272-nucleotide long non-coding RNA. RefSeq lists it as uncharacterized. Lineage: Eukaryota; Metazoa; Arthropoda; Insecta; Orthoptera; Acrididae. The transcript has 3 exons. The record is from RefSeq and is a predicted model, not a curated record.
GGCGGCGAACCCACAGUGCGCCAGCAGCCGCGCCACACGAGCAAUGGCUGCAUCAACAACAAAGAUGCGGCUGCUACAGUUAUUGUUGGCGUUCCUGAUGUCAUCUAUACCAAGCACAUCGGGUCUCCUUGGAAUGGACCAGCCUCGGAUACAGACAGUGAACGGACACCUGAAGCUUGUUUCGGGACUGCACGGUGACAUCGUCCUGCAGACUGCCGGCAGAGGCUCCGUCAUCAUCAACGGCCAGAACAUGAUGCGGGUGCUGCAACUGG